Molecule: ribosomal RNA, 583 nt
Filed under: Bacteroides thetaiotaomicron
Lineage: Bacteria; Pseudomonadati; Bacteroidota; Bacteroidia; Bacteroidales; Bacteroidaceae
Description: bacterial LSU rRNA
Rfam family: Bacterial large subunit ribosomal RNA
Source: RNAcentral
AAGCAGCCAUUCAUUUAAAGAGUGCGUAACAGCUCACUAGUCGAGGAGUUUGGCGUGGAUAAUAAUCGGGCAUUAAGUGUUUUACCGAAGCUAUGGGAUCAGUAAUGAUCGGUAGGGGAGCAUUCCACUCUGCGUCGAAGGUGAAGCGUGAGCUUUGCUGGAGCGUGUGGAAAAGCAAAUGUAGGUAUAAGUAACGAUAAAGGGGGUGAGAAACCCCCUCGCCGAAAGACUAAGGUUUCCUGAUCAACGCUAAUCGGAUCAGGGUUAGUCGGGUCCUAAGGCUCAGCCGAACGGUGAGGCCGAUGGCAGAACAGGUUAAUAUUCCUGUACUACCUUAAGGAGUGACGUGGAGACGGAGCAGUGACAGCGCCGCGGACUGACGGAAUAGUCCGUUGAAGGGUGUAGAUGUUGAUCAUCCCAGGCAAAUCCGGGAUGAGAGUCGAACCUGAUAGUAUGGAGCGUUCUUCGGAACAAUCCAAUAGUGCGUGUAAGCAUACUCCCAAGAAAAUCCGCUAAACUUAAUCCUUAAGGUACCCGUACCGCAAACGGACACACGUAGUCGGGUUGAAUAUACUAAGGCGCU